UCCCUAGUAGCUCAGUCAGUAAAGAAUCUGCCUGCAAUGCAGGUGACCCAGGUUUGAUUCCUGGAUCUGGAA
This 72-nucleotide transfer RNA is filed under the name Bos taurus (domestic cattle). It matches the Rfam family "tRNA". From Rfam's summary of the family: Transfer RNA (tRNA) molecules are approximately 80 nucleotides in length. Their secondary structure includes four short double-helical elements and three loops (D, anti-codon, and T loops). RNAcentral also lists the same sequence under 1 other name. Lineage: Eukaryota; Metazoa; Chordata; Mammalia; Artiodactyla; Bovidae. The record is from Rfam by way of RNAcentral.